RNAcentral lists this small RNA (82 nucleotides) under Olleya marilimosa. RNAcentral describes it as "Flavo-1 RNA". It matches the Rfam family "Flavo-1 RNA". The record is from RNAcentral. RNAcentral also lists the same sequence under 1 other name. Lineage: Bacteria; Pseudomonadati; Bacteroidota; Flavobacteriia; Flavobacteriales; Flavobacteriaceae.
UUGUGUAAGCGGUAGUAAUGGCAUCCUUUAUUUUGCUGCCAUAUAUGGCAAAAUAAAGAUAUAAUGGAUGACGCGACCACCU